UUAAACAACAGAGGAAUCAGUUUAUUAUUUCAAAGCUCUAAUGUCACACAUAUUAGCAGCAGGAUAUGCAACUUCAGCUCCAUUUAUAUACUGUGUUUCAACAUAAUGGAAACACUGAACCCAUCAGGAAAUCACAUGAUCCCCCUAAGCAUGAAAAUAUGUGGAAUGUGUCAUGGAAGCACACUUAGAGACAAUGUUUCUGCAGCAGUCUUUACAGAGAGAAGGCAACAGUGUUUGGUCUUCAGAUUUAGCGGUGUAACAAACACACAGUUUCUCAUUUUGGACUUCCUGGUUGUUUCCAUCCACGCUCACGUGCGUCCAAAUCCGCUUGACGCACCAGUCCCGAUAAGGCACAUUUCCUGUCAGUCUACUGAACACAAACCGUAUGCCAAACGGUCCGUUGGAGGUCCGCAGGAGAUAAGAGUGUGGUGGGUGGUAAAAAGAACAACAUAAGACAUGAUCUCCAUCAUGCGACGCUGUCUUAAAACGUGUCAUUCCGCCUCCGCGCGUACCAACCCAGGAAGGCGCAGAAACCCACCACGGUCACGAUGGUACCCAGGAGCAGGGCCAGGGCGUCCCCCGCGUCGUAAGCCUCCGCCGGGGGAACCACAGAGAGGAGUAAGAGUCCCACAAACGCCGCUGUAAGUUGGGAAGCCAUGUUGAGAUUUUAUUCUGCUGUUGCUGUUGACUUUCGGGAAGCUGGAGCGCCUGCGUCAGAGGAAGAUACUUCCUGGUUCGCUCAGCCAAUAAGAGAGCUCCCUUAUCAUGACGAGUGCCUUCUGUUUUCCUUUUUUUUUUCUAUUAAAAAAUAUUCACUUCAUGUUUUAACACAUUCCUCUUAUUUCUUAUUUCUCUUAUGGCUCUGUAACAAUUUGAAAUUUAAGCUGUUACUUUUAGACUUUAAGAAAAAUGUGAUUGUCCAGGUUCACUGCAGAUUUUUGACAUGACUCCUCUUUAGAGUGACAUUUACACUGACAGACCAUCAAUGUCCCUCCUUCUCAGACACAGCUGCAGACUGAAGACUAAUGCUGCAACAAUCUGCUCCUCCUUUUUCCCGUCCAAGUUUUGCAGUAGUUGUUUGGAUGUUGAUGCUUUGUGUUUGCUUGUGUUCAAUCCAGAAAAUCAGUUUUAACAUUAACCCUAGUACACUAUAACUAAAAUUAGUAAAACCAUCACUAUCGAUUUUUACCCGAAAUAAUAUACCAAAAAAAGUACUUGUCAUCAUGUAUAUCAAAAUAGGGCAAUACAUGACAAAUUGAAAUAGUUCUCUAUUAUUUUCAACUUGCAAUGGAGGGGAAAAAGUGCCAUGAGGUGGCCACAUAAAAUGCAACAAAAUAACUGAAAUUAGGCAUUCAUGAACAAAAAAAAAUCCUAAAAAAAAAAGGUAUUUAGAAACUGUAAACUUAGUUUUUAAACUAAAACUUAGUCUUUUCCACCAAUUCCUGGGGCAUGUUAGUCUUUCCUGGUGAAGACUCAGGGUCCUUGGCACAAUAACAGCUGCAGGAGAGAGAACCAAAAUAUUGCAUAUUUUGAGUGAGUAAAAAUGACCAGCUUAGUAAAAUAUUUCUUAUCACCAUAUAAAUUCCCUUAAAAAUCACUACUUUGUGAUAGUUAUUCAUAACCACUGCGCUACAAAAAGAUAGCAGGACCACUCUUACUGACCUUAUUUGCCUACUUGCAGCUAUCAAAUCCACCCAAACCUACUUACCCUCUAUCACUAUUGCUGAGUGAAAAUCACCCAAACACGUGCCUGUAGGAAAAAGCAGGUUUUGGAUCAAGGAAACAAAUAUGCCCUCAAAGAUGUCAAAGGCAAUGCUGAAGCUACCCACAUACCCAUGAUACUCAAUGGCCUAGCUGUUUGCAAGCUCUCUACUCUCUCUUGCUCUUUCUCUGUGCUUUCCAGGGGCACUUCACCUGUAAUCUAAUUAGAGCGCACAAGUCAAAGUAAAAUAUUGACCUUGUAAGGCUGCCAUGCUUCUGUACCUUUCUGCUUCAAGCAGGGAGAUGAAUAGGCAUACUUAUGGCUUUCUCAUCACACUCGCUCUCUUUCUUGCUUCCGUUGUCUCUUUGGCAAUUUGUCUGAAACAGAAGCUUUUCUGAGCUCUGUGUGAUCUCCAUGGCUGCAUUUGGCAGACCACAUGGCCCAGUGCAAGCCUUUCAAAGGGCUUCUUAUUUAUAACAUUACUCACACCGAACAUCCGAUUCUGCUACUCCCCAUGUGUGUUUUCUUUGAUGAUAUAUUUGUUCCCUAAACUCAAGAAACUUAGCCGUUUUACACCAUGGCAGAAGCAGCUCUUGGAUUACAGUGACUGAUCAGAGGGAAUAUGAGAGGAUUUUCAGAAAUAAAAGUGUUUGUCCAACAGACCUGAACAGUGACAUUAAUCUUCGCUACUAAUGUGUUCUGCAUCAUAAUUUGCUGCUCAGCAUCAGGAGGAUCUGCCCUGAUAUAGCAGCUCACACACACACUCAGUACAAACAUUCAUUUUUUAGUGUAGAAAAAUAGCUGUUUCUCUGUUUAACUGUUACUUAAAUGACACCAAAGGUUUUGUGCAGAUAACCAACAUCUACUGGUUCCUAACAGAUCUUGGUGAAUUAUUGCUGAAGCUCCUUAUGUAAAUGCUGAAUGUUGUUUCCCAUAGUUGUAGCACAAGGUGAGCUCAAGUCCCAACACUUAAGCACAUUAUCAAUGCCAAAAUAGCUAAUCUUGCUUAUCUAAGCUUGCACUUUGCACUUCUUUACCAUCGUCUGUUUUGCUAUGUUCUGUCACAAUAAAGAUAUCACUCAAUACCAAUGUCACUCUGAACCUAAAUUUGACACCUUCUGGAUAAUUAAUUUUAUGUUAUGAAGGAUAUUGGCACAAAUCAAAACAAACUCCAAUGAUAUGUACAUGGAUUUUAAGUACAACUCAAUUCCAAGUCAAAGCUUUUAUGUUGUUGCAUUACCGGGGACUUAUUUUCUUGCUCUUUUGACCUGCAUGGUUAUUUCUUGCCUUGAGUUGAGUUGGCUAUUUCAGCACUUUUAAACUAAACAUUUCACUUGUUCGUUUAAGUGAGGGACUCCAUACUGAGUUAUCUGUCCUCAAUGCUCACAGGUCACAUAAACUGAAAGGCCAGUUUUCAGAGACCUCGGUUUUGUGAGCAUCCAUUCUCAAUUACUCCUUACAAGAAUGAGGACACAGCAAGUUCCACCUUCACCAACCAGCACAAAACAUCUCUCCCUGAAGAUUAAUUAUGUUCUGAAAUUGGUUUCUCAGAAAACACUGAAAAGCUGACCCUUUAAAGCAAUUGCUGCUUUUGUAGUGCUUCAGCACACCAUCCGUAAUGAAUUGUACUGUGAGGGACAUGACAAAUGGAUUUUCCUGUGUCUUUUGUGGCAGUGUGCGAGAUGUUGAAAUACUUAAAGAGGACCUAAAUCAACACCAGGAAAGAAAAAAAAAGAAGGAAAAGGUCAGCUGGGUUCUGUGCAACACGGUGUUGGACCACACUGACUCACACUCUGAUUAGGGAUGUGGACUAGGUUGAUUGAAACCAACAAAACCUUCCAAAAGAAUAGAUGUAUCAGCGUAAUUACCCAUUCAUAUUGGAAGUAGAGAGGGAGUGCGAGGGUGGAUGCUUGAAAAUCAGACAUUUAGUGUUGGACUGACAGUUGUAUAAUGCUUUAAAGGGUAAUCAAUUCAUCCUUGUUUUUAUUGCUUUGUGUUUUCCAGAGACAUGAAUUUACCAAAGAAAAUCUGUCACAGUGAAUAUUUAGUCCUUUUUUAUAAGAUGUGGUGUGUUUGUUAUUAUCACAUGAUACUCAGACCUUCAUGAUGCAUUCAAGUGAUAUUUUAGAGCUGUCGAAUAGUAUAGCUAUUUCACAGAAAAAUCAAUCUUAGAGCAAAACCCUCACAAUACUGCAAAGCUCCUCCGCAAGAUGGUAUCCAAGAAAGUUUGAGAAGAUAUUUGAUGAUUUGCAUUUUAACCACAAGCAGGUUUCUAAUCAGUGAUUCUCUUAAAAGAGAAAUCAACUGACUCAAAGUUUAUAUUUUCUGGAAACUGGCAAGUUAUGUUUCUGUCGAUAUGAAAAUGUGAUAAAUAGUUAUCAAGUGAGUUUGUAUGUGUUUGAAAAGGGAUUUGUUUAUUUAAGAUUUGGUGCAGGGCAGGCUAGGUACAUUAAAUGUCCUUCUAUAAAAAGUUUAUUUUUAAUCUUUUUUUAUUAUCAUUUUUUUUUACUGUGAGUCAAAUAUAUGUUUGUAGAAUCAAGAUGUUUGCUGAGUUCAGUUAAAAUUGAUUUCUUGGACUUCGUGUAGGCUGGGGCUGUCUUAAUACAUCGCUAUUGGAGAUAAUCAUGGUCCUGUCUGUGUAACUUAACUUCUGACAACAAUGUAGAUAAGAUUACAAAGAACAGCAUUUCCUGAGCUAACCCAAUAAAGUAAAAUCUGUUUGUGGUCACUAAGACCAGCUACAUGAAUAUCUUUGAAAAUGAAUCUGCCAAUGCAGAUGCAGCUUUGAAUUGGGUCAGCUACCUAACAUUGUAGAAUAUCAUUAUAUGACACGGUAUUUCAUCACAAAAAUACUAAAGUUUUAAUUGUGUUUCUGCAUCAUGUAAUCACUGUUGUUGUAGCCAACGUCUUAUCCCCCGAAUGACUC
This is a non-coding RNA of Xyrichtys novacula (pearly razorfish), 4628 nucleotides long. The record is from the annotation of a GenBank genome assembly. Lineage: Eukaryota; Metazoa; Chordata; Actinopteri; Labriformes; Labridae.